UGAGCUGGUCAACAGACGCAUGUCGGAAAUUGGAUGCAUGAAACAGGCCAUCACGUCUGUGCAAGCAUGAAGCGCGCCACGCAUAGGGUUUCCAUGCUAGUACAUACUUACCCCUCACCCUCCAGAGCUCAUCAAACUGCUCAAUCAAUUGCAGUUACAUUGAUUUUUUUCCCUCAUAUUAUAUCAAGCAUCAGCUCCAUCAUACCACUACAGUCUACAUUUUUUUUCCUUCUAGAAAAGCACUACAACAC
This 251-nucleotide long non-coding RNA is filed under the name Hordeum vulgare. RNAcentral's name for it is "long non-coding RNA (HVUL_LNC008254)". The record is from RNAcentral. Lineage: Eukaryota; Viridiplantae; Streptophyta; Magnoliopsida; Poales; Poaceae.